GACGAACGCUGGCGGCGUGCUUAACACAUGCAAGUCGAACGGAAAGGCCCUGCUUUUGUGGGGUGCUCGAGUGGCGAACGGGUGAGUAUCACGUGAGUAACCUGCCCUUGACUGUGGGAUAACUUAUGGAAACUGGGGCGCAUACCGGAUAGGAGCUCCUUCUGCACGGUGGGGGAUGGAAAGUUUCGGCGGUUGGGCAUUGACGUGCGGUCCAUCAUCGUGUUGGUGGGGUGGUGGCGUAACAAGGCUUUGACGGGUAGCCAGCCUGAGAGGGUGACCGGCCACAUUGGGCUAGAGGAGCGACCCAGAGGGCUUCGGGAGGCAGCAGUGGGAAAUAGUGCACGAUGGGCGGAAGCCGGAUGGAGCAACGCCGCGUGCGGGAUGACGGCCGUCGGGUUGUAAACCGCUUUCGCCUGUGACGAAGAGUGAGUGACGGUAAUGGGUAAAGAAGCACCGGCUAACUACGUG
Molecule: ribosomal RNA, 468 nt
Filed under: uncultured bacterium
Lineage: Bacteria
Description: partial 16S ribosomal RNA
Rfam family: Bacterial small subunit ribosomal RNA
Source: RNAcentral